Rhineura floridana is the source of this 302-nucleotide long non-coding RNA. RefSeq lists it as uncharacterized. The record is from RefSeq and is a predicted model, not a curated record. The transcript has 3 exons. Lineage: Eukaryota; Metazoa; Chordata; Lepidosauria; Squamata; Rhineuridae.
GAGAAAUACUGGGUGAUUUUCAACUGUUCGGGCUUUUUUUCUACUGUUGAUAGUUCCAGAAUAUCAAGCCCCUGAGUCAGGCUCAUAGAACAAUCCUUGCUGCUGACCCGUAUGGACUGGUGAAUUUUGCCAUAAACAAUUUAACAGUUACCCUGGUAACGGAUUCUGCGAAGUAAUGGGAUCACAGGCAUUAGAGAAGAGGAAAGGCUAGCUACCAGAGAAAACCAUCUGCUGGCUGAUGUUCCUGGGGCUGUUUGCUCAAUGGAUGCUUCUCAGCCUGACAGUCAUUGUACUUCUAUGCA